UAUGACACAUAGAAGCCAGCUUGCAGAAGCAGGCUGCAAACCACCGUAAGCGGUGCUGGUAAAGAUCCGGAUGUCGUAAGCGUUACGGAAAACUGCAGUGAAAGCAUCAGGU
This is a non-coding RNA of Syntrophus aciditrophicus SB, 112 nucleotides long. Lineage: Bacteria; Pseudomonadati; Thermodesulfobacteriota; Syntrophia; Syntrophales; Syntrophaceae. The record is from Rfam.